CUCAUGGAAACCAAUAGAUACUUCUUCGGAGGGAUCGCCAAUAAUUGUUAAACCUAGACGGUAGAAACAAUUGUCGUGUUAAAUUGACGCCUGCAUAAGUGUUUUUCAAAUGUUUUAUGCGUACUCACCGAGAAAUAACAACUACACCGGUCGCCGCUCCAUGCGAGAACCAGGAAUACAGUAAAUAAAAAGAAGAAAGUUACUUCCGAAUGAAUGCCGUAGUGGUCGUGGAGAGGAUGGUAAAGAGGCAAGAACAGCAGGACUCCGCCAGGCAUACCAAGUAAAGCUGGUAGCACAGUGCACACAGUUUCCUUGAAGCACCUGCGAAGAGUACGAACAGAACGAUUCAUUCUCUCCGGUACUUUUGCACCACGGAUUGCGAAAACAUGAUCAAACAGACGCGACAUCAUUUUUGGCGAGGUAAACUAAGUGGCAAAAAUCUUACUCACGAUUUGCUCGCCGUCCAUUGUUCCUUGCUUUCUGUAAAGAGACGUCUCGUUCCGUGAAAGAAGAAGGUGAAGCUUGCGGCAAACGCUGCGUGAAAGUAAUACGAGUUCCAAGGAACAAAGUAGUGCCGAUCGUAUAUGUUGGGAUCAGUGGCGUGCCAGGACCAGUGAAGGAAUCUCACAGAGACUAUGUCGUAAGGAAUGUCAAUGAGGACUGUUAUCAGGCCUACGGCGAAUGGUUCGCUCCAAGCAGGCAGUCGCAGUUGCUUCACAGCGAUGGAUGCGUUGUAUAUGAAUACAACAUCUGGAAGAUUUGGUAAAAAUUUUUCCAAAUUUCUACUUUCAUAAUGAAAGUUACAGUAUUGAGAAAGAGCGAACUCGUUUCUCCAACUUCAUACUCACACACCAAGAUUAUAUGGAGCGGCAAACGCCGUCCAAUCAGAAUUAUCGGUGUCUGGGAAUGCCAAAAGUUGUCGAUGUCUGGAAGGUUGUAGCUAAUCGCCUCUACAACUAUUCCAUGGAGUAUAAUACCCACCCAUAAAUGCACGUAGCGACGUCCGCUUUUCAACGCUAUACGAAAAUGGGAGAAAAUUGAUUAAAACGACGCACUGGUUACCAUGGAGAAGGGUGAUAAAGCCACCGACUAGGCACAACACCUGCACCAUGAUGUAAGUUGGUUGAGCCUUCCACAUCACGGUAACAUCGUUGAAAGCCACAAACCAGUCGAGAAACUGCAAAAAGAACAAUCGCCGAACGUCAGAAAGACGGUUAAAAAAUAGAAGACUAAAAAACAAACUGAAAAUUAAAGAACUCCGGCCCAAAGAAGAUCAAUACGAUCAUUCUUAAAACUACGCCAGAUAUUUAUGUAGUGGAACGAAUUUCACCAGUUGAACAGAGAGAUGGAGCUAUAAGGAUGAAACUAGUAACGUUACCGUAAUAAAGAUGCAUGUUUACGAAAAAUGGCUAAUUCGCAUCUUUAUGACUCUCCGAAAUUUAGUAAACCAAUUAUAAUAAACAAAAUGUACAAUAAUUCCGAAGAGCCAACUUCUUGAAAGUCAUCCUAAAAUUGACCACCCUGGUCUUUGAUUUCCUCGGCGAAUCCUGGCAAGUCGCGUCUAUUAUCCAUGGCUCGUAUGAAAAAAGGAGCGCGCGUAA
RNAcentral lists this long non-coding RNA (1601 nucleotides) under Neodiprion lecontei (redheaded pine sawfly). RNAcentral's name for it is "uncharacterized LOC124293171". The record is from RNAcentral. Lineage: Eukaryota; Metazoa; Arthropoda; Insecta; Hymenoptera; Diprionidae.